UGGCUCAGAUUGAACGCUGGCGGCAGGCCUAACACAUGCAAGUCGAGCGGUAGAGAGAAGCUUGCUUCUCUUGAGAGCGGCGGACGGGUGAGUAAUACCUAGGAAUCUGCCUGAUAGUGGGGGAUAACGUUCGGAAACGGACGCUAAUACCGCAUACGUCCUACGGGAGAAAGCAGGGGACCUUCGGGCCUUGCGCUAUCAGAUGAGCCUAGGUCGGAUUAGCUAGUUGGUGAGGUAAUGGCUCACCAAGGCUACGAUCCGUAACUGGUCUGAGAGGAUGAUCAGUCACACUGGAACUGAGACACGGUCCAGACUCCUACGGGAGGCAGCAGUGGGGAAUAUUGGACAAUGGGCGAAAGCCUGAUCCAGCCAUGCCGCGUGUGUGAAGAAGGUCUUCGGAUUGUAAAGCACUUUAAGUUGGGAGGAAGGGCAUUAACCUAAUACGUUGGUGUCUUGACGUUACCGACAGAAUAAGCACCGGCUAACUCUGUGCCAGCAGCCGCGGUAAU
Molecule: ribosomal RNA, 509 nt
Filed under: uncultured bacterium
Lineage: Bacteria
Description: bacterial SSU rRNA
Rfam family: Bacterial small subunit ribosomal RNA
Source: RNAcentral